RNAcentral lists this non-coding RNA (26 nucleotides) under Homo sapiens (human). Lineage: Eukaryota; Metazoa; Chordata; Mammalia; Primates; Hominidae. The record is from RNAcentral.
UUACAAGCUGUGGUGGCUAUGGUGAA